UUUAGAUGGAAUGCAUCCCUUUUUUCUGUAUUUAGAAUAAUGUUGGCCUGAGGCUUCGCAGAGAUAGCCUUUAUGAUGUUGACAUGAGUUCCUGUUAUCCCUAGAUUUUCCAGUGUUUUGAACAUAAAGCAGUGCUGUAUUUUGUCAAAUGCUUUUUCUGCAUCUAUUGAGAUAUGGUUCUUAUCUUGAAGUCUAUUAAUGUGAUGAAUUAUAUUGAUUGAUUUCCAUAUGUUGAACAAACCUUGCAUACCUGGGAUGAAUCACACCUGAUCAUGGUGCAUGCUAUUUUUUAUAUGUUUUUGUAUUCAAUUUGCCAGAAUUUAAUUGAGGAUUUUUGCAUAUAUAUUCAUUAGAGAUACUGGUCUGAGGUUUUCUUUCUUUGAGGUUUCUUUCUCUGGUUUGGGAAUCAGGGUGAUAUUGGCCUCAUAGAAUGAAGUUGGAAGUACUCCUUCUUUUUCUGUUUCCUGAAAUAGACUGAAGAGUAUUGGUAUUAGUUCUUCCUGAGAAGUCUUUUAAAACUUGGCUCUAUAUCCAUCUGGUCCUGGGCUUUUCUUGGUUGCUGAUCUUUGGAUGACUUCUUCUAAGUCCUCACUUGAUAUUGGUCUCUUUAAGUGAUGUAUGUUGGGGAUGCAAAUCAAGUCAAGAUGGCGCCUGGCAGUUUACCAGGAGGAGUGGUUUGUUAAGCAAUGCCAGCGAGCCAUUAAGAUGAUGAGGAUUCCUUAUUUGCUGACUGCUGUAUCUAGAUGAUGUUAAUUGAGUCAAGCUGU
RNAcentral lists this long non-coding RNA (767 nucleotides) under Marmota monax (woodchuck). Lineage: Eukaryota; Metazoa; Chordata; Mammalia; Rodentia; Sciuridae. The record is from RNAcentral.